Molecule: long non-coding RNA, 427 nt
Filed under: Homo sapiens (human)
Lineage: Eukaryota; Metazoa; Chordata; Mammalia; Primates; Hominidae
Description: non-protein coding lnc-MSTN-3:1
Source: RNAcentral
AACUGUUGACCCACUGGCAGCAUGGCACCAGUUUGCAACUUCAACUGUAGAGAGCUGAAGUGUGGGCUUGUUAGUGGUGGAUCCGUACAGGUCUGAAGCAACUUGAUUCUUGCCUCCUUGAAGGAAAGAAUUUGUCUAAGGGGCAUAAGGCAGAGUGAGAGACCAAGGGAGUUGGUCUCUCAGUCCAUGGGCAAUUUCGAGUGGCUACAGAAAAGUGUCUUUUUGCUAUGCCAGAAACUGCAAUAGAGUUACUUGUCGAUUUCAACAAAAAAGCCUGCAGAUGAAUUUAGAGAGAAUUGACAUCUUAACACUAUCGAGUCUUUUCAGACCUGUGGGCAAGAUAUAAUUCUUCAUUUAUGACUGUUCCCUGAUGUGGGUGGAGGUUAUUUCUUGCCACGACUCCAAGGAAAACUUGGUUACUUCCUUG